CCUACGGGUGGCAGCAGUGAGGAAUAUUGGUCAAUGGACGCAAGUCUGAACCAGCCAUGCCGCGUGCAGGAUGACGGCUCUAUGAGUUGUAAACUGCUUUUGUACGAGGGUAAACCCCGAUACGUGUAUCGGGUUGAAAGUAUCGUACGAAUAAGGAUCGGCUAACUCCGUGCCAGCAGCCGCGGUAAUACGGAGGAUCCGAGCGUUAUCCGGAUUUAUUGGGUUUAAAGGGUGCGUAGGCGGUUUGAUAAGUUAGAGGUGAAAUGUCGGGGCUCAACCCCGAAACUGCCUCUAAUACUGUUGGACUAGAGAAUAGUUGCGGUAGGCGGAAUGUAUGGUGUAGCGGUGAAAUGCUUAGAGAUCAUACAGAACACCGGUGGCGAAGGCGGCCUGCUGGACUGCAACUGACGUUGAGGCCCGAAAGCGUGGGGAGCAAACAGGAUUAGAUACCCGGGUAGUC
This 460-nucleotide ribosomal RNA is filed under the name uncultured bacterium. RNAcentral's name for it is "partial 16S ribosomal RNA". It matches the Rfam family "Bacterial small subunit ribosomal RNA", at positions 338 to 795 of the family's 1533-position model. The record is from RNAcentral.